GAUGAACGCUGGCGGCGUGCUUAACACAUGCAAGUCGAACGGAAAGGCUCCUGCUUGCAGGGGUACUCGAGUGGCGAACGGGUGAAUAACACGUGGGUGAUCUGCCCUGCACUUCGGUAUAAGCUUGGGAAACUGGGUCUAAUACCGUAUAUGACCUCAUCGUGGAUGGUGUGGUGGAAAGUUUUUCGGUGUGGGAUGAGCUCGCGGCCUAUCAGCUUGUUGGUGGGGUAAUGGCCUACCAAGGCGUCUACGGGUAGCCGGCCUGAGAGGGUGUACGGCCACAUUGGGACUGAGAUACGGCCCAGACUCCUACGGGAGGCAGCAGUGGGGAAUAUUGCACAAUGGGCGGAAGCCUGAUGCAGCGACGCCGCGUGGGGGAUGACGGCCUUCGGGUUGUAAACUGCUUUCGCUAGGGAAGAAGCGAAAGUGACGGUACCUGGAGAAGAAGCACCAGCUAACUACGUG
RNAcentral lists this ribosomal RNA (465 nucleotides) under uncultured bacterium. RNAcentral's name for it is "partial 16S ribosomal RNA". It matches the Rfam family "Bacterial small subunit ribosomal RNA", at positions 28 to 507 of the family's 1533-position model. The record is from RNAcentral.